This is a long non-coding RNA of Dicentrarchus labrax (European seabass), 12584 nucleotides long. RefSeq lists it as uncharacterized. The record is from RefSeq and is a predicted model, not a curated record. The transcript has 2 exons. Lineage: Eukaryota; Metazoa; Chordata; Actinopteri; Moronidae.
AGCACGCACAGAGCCUAAUUGUGUUUGUGUAUUAUUGAGCCACCAGAGGGCGCCCUCUGCUCACAUGCAGGACAAUGACUUUCUCAUACUAAUUUGUUACCAUAGCUGUGCUUGCAGCAGCAUAUUUAAUAGUAAUACAUUGCAGUAACUGUUGUUUUGUUUUGUUUUUUAAUCUAUGUUUUUAUUACUUUCUGUUGCUGAUUUUAUCAUUCAGUAAGAUAUCUAAAAAUGGUGUAGUUUUGAAAAUAACUUUGGAAAGGUUGUUCAUGUGGCAAAUAUCAAUAUAACUUUUUCCUACCAGUUAACUGGUGGUGUGACUGGGAGGCCAGUUUUAUUGAGUAUGUUUUUGUAAAGUAACACCAUCAGUCUAAAUGUGCUUAACGAAGGCUAAAAGGAGACAAACUGGCCCAAUAAAACACCAUGGGGAUACUGAAGAGCUCAUUUCCAUUUUAGACGUGCAUGCCCAGUUUAUCACCCUGCCAGUUCUUUUAAACGCUUGCAGUGUUGUUGAAUAGUAGCUCUAGCUGUUAAUGAAUGAAUGCAAUGCUGAUGGCCUAAAUAGGUUAGAAACAGUUGUGUGAGUGGAACAUGUAUAUAUCUUCUGAUGUGCUUUUCCUGAGGUAUAUAAUAGUUGUGAAGCAUAGAGAACAUUGUCCCCUUUUUGUUAUAAUUUAAUGUAAACCUAGUAGAUUUAUUCUGACUGUUUUCUGACUGUGUUGUCAGAAGUAAAAACACACAUUCUGGUUGUUGUGUUUAGUGUCACUCUCUGUGUUUUAAAAUAUGAUGCACAUCAGACCAAAUGUUGAAAAAUAUAAUGACCAGGUUUGUGUCAUCUGUGCUGCCAAACGCUUGUUAUUGGUUAGUUGAUGUUGCUUUGUAGCCUUACAUGAACUCCAGAUGGCACUGUUGAUCACUGUGGGACUUGGGAUGAAGCCAGACAGGCAGUAUCGAUGUGCUCCUAGUGUCAGUCGAUUAUCGAAUGCUGGAGGCUUACCCGGAGCGAACAGAGAGCAUUUUACCUCUAAAAUAAAACAGGCUUUUAGAGGAUUAUUUUAUGAAUAUAUCAGUUUUAUAUGUCCACAGGUAAAACAAUUGGUCAGAAUCAUAUUUUGAGCAGCCAAUCUUUGUUACACAGCAUCUCAUCCAGCUUUGUCACAGCAGAUGUGAGACGCAACAAGUGUGGAGCUUUGUGACUGUUGUAAGCCAAGAUUGAUUAGCAGUGGUAAUGGCAAAUGCUCUAUGUACAGUUUCCUAAUGGCAAGUGUCUGGAAGAGAUGUCAAAUCGUUGUUUGUAAUAUAAUUUAAUAAUUUAGACUGUUUUGUCAUGAUUCAAGGCAUGCAGGGGAAAAUAGAUAGGUACAUUUUUUUAAGGUAAGAAGGAUGCAUGAAGCGUACGAGAAUAAAAUAAAACCUAAUGAAUCUUUGCUCUAAGGAAAAUAGCCUGCUGCUUCUAAAAUAACUUGCCAGUAGUAUAACAUGGUGCAGUAAGAUUGGAGGGAAAAUGGUGGCUUUUUCAAGGUCGGGAGCUUUUUUUUUUGGUGAAAAUGUGAGAAAACAGGAACCAUAUUAUCUUUUUAGAACUGUGCAAUGACAUGAAAUCAGUGAUUGCAUCUGCUGCAUUAUAGUCCAAUUUGAAGAUUCCUGCUUUGAAGUAAUAGUCUGUGGUUAUAUUUAAAUCAGCCUUCUGAUGACCACAACCCUAUAAACCAACAGACAAACACAAACAAAUAUUGUUAUGCCAGCUUUAGCAAAAAGAAAGCUUGAUGUUGUGCCUUUUUAUAGCUUAAAAUUGGCUAAGUAUUCUGUAAUUGGAGUACUUUUAUAAUAUUGAGACAUGGGCUAUGUGCCAUUUUUAAAUCUUAUUGAGAAGAAAACUGGUUAUUUAUUGCAUUUGUUGUUCAGGAUCACCAAUAACCACACAUACAUUCAUUAAUUAUCACAUUGUUAUCAUGAACAGGAUUAGUGUAUACCUCCAAGUGCAUAUGAGCACAGGCAAACAUUCACAUAUACAGUUUAUAAUGGAUUGACAGGUACUCCCCAAGUCCCACUGUCAAGUAGAUGCACUAAUGUGUGUGUGUGUGUGUGUGUGUGGCGCUGUCAGCAUGAGUGGAACUAGGCUGUCACAAUGUUUUGUGGAUCACUGGGUUGUCUGUGCAAGACAAAGAGUGUGUGUGGGAGUGACAGACAGAGCAGGGGGAUGUUUACCUCACACUUCUCAUCCUCAAAAAGCUUGUGUUUUUGUCAAGUGUUUUUCACAACAAUACAUACAUAUUUAAAAUGCAUGAGAGGUAAAACUGAGCUCUGCAUUCACUUCUCUGAUAUUAUAGUGCACUGUUCACAGCACACAGCGUGGCGCUAAAUACUGAGUUAUAAUGCUCUCUGUUUGUACAAAUAAAGUUUGUGUCUGCUGCAAGCCUAAAAGUUACAUAAGCUUUUUAAAUAACAACUAUUUAAAUUUAAAAGAAUCCACCAUCCACCAUUUGUAAGAAAUAAAAUACACCCUCCACUUGUUUUUGGUCUGGUGUUACCAGUAGCUUGUUUGCAACCUUAGAUAAAUAUUGUUGUGUAGUUGACAUUGUUAAGUCAGUUUUCUAACUUGGCUCUUCCCUUCUCUUUUAAUGGCAUAAUCACAAAGUAAAAGAAACCUGCAUGUGGUCCCAUUCCACUCGCUCUCAGUCAGGUCACCUAAUGAUGAUGUAUUUAAAGCAAAUGACUCAAGAGAAUCUUGGAAAAUGAAAGGAAAUUAAAUGUGAGAUUAUCCUGCAGUAGCCACAGCGUUUGCCUUUCUGCAAAAGUUGCAUCGUACUUUUUGGAAGUUUGUGCUUUUUGAAUUUAGUUCUUCAUUAAGAUUGUUCUUGGAGACAACAUCUAGUGACCAUCAAAGGAACUGCAGCUGGAGGCAGAUGGUGGUGGUUGAACAUUAGCUCUUCCGAGGCACUGGCCUGCACACACAGCAUGUUACUAAAUUAAUGCAGGAUAAAUUGAGUAUUAGAGCUCACUGACGCACAUGCACAGAGGUGUUGGGGCACUGGGACACUUUAUUGACAUGACAGACAUCUAUAUGGAGGGGUGAGGCAAGGUUAGACCUUCACAUCCCAAUAUCCUAGAUGUAUUUUUAGAUAAUCAGGUAACUGACCUAAUAAUUACAACACUUAUAACAACUUGAAGAGAAACUGGUAGUGCCAGUUUAGCCAGCUGUACUGCAGAAGAAUAUGUCAACAAACUAGCACGGACAACUUCCAAAGCAUACAGUAGGUUUAAAGUUGUUAGAUUGAAGACAUUUUUCAUGACCUGAAAACAGUGGCUGCAGGGAAGAUAGGAGAACACAUGAAUCAGUCUGAAUACCUGUGGUUUAUGAAUGGUAGAGCUGUACAUUUCUGUAGUGUAAAGCCACAGUGAACAGUACUUAACACUUAGUUGGAUGGCAUUGCUCUCUAUAGGUAAGCAAUUACUCAGCAUUCUUAUUACUCAAUGUAGACAUUGAUGCAGCAGGGAAUAAAGAAUUGACUCCUUAGUCAACAAUUCAACAAAUUCAACUGAGAGAUAACUAAUAAUUCACUAAUAACAUGAAUAAUUGAAAUUAGGGGGCAGCUAUUGCAUACUUUUGUCAACAUCUAGAUUACUUAUAAAUUAUUGAAUAAGAAUAACGUCAUACAUUAGAUAUUGUAUUCCUAAUCAAAUAUGGACUGUAUGUGGGGUUGGUAGACUUGGAAGAAAUAGUUUCAUGUAUCCUCUAGAUAGUACCACAGAGUUUAAUACUGCUGCUUUAUAUGAUAUCACCCUGUGUAAAUUACACCAGAGAAAGUGAUAUCUCCUGGUUGAAUUGAUUCUUGCUGGGUCUAACCUGCUCUACAUUCCUGUUGCUCACACGGUUCCUCUGAGGUUCAGUGUGCUUUUUCUGUUGGUGUACAGUGGUCAGUGACUGUGUGUGUGUGUGUGUGUGUGUGUGUGUGUGUGUGUGUGUGUGUGUGUGUGUGUGUGUGUGUGUGUGUGUGUGUGUGUGUUAAUCCCAUAAUCCACAGUACAACAUAAUCCACAACUGAGCCUGUAAUACAAAACCCAAUAGUGUGUUUGUGUGGGGAUGGGGGAGGAAGCCAGAAUAUAAGGACAGUCAGAGGAAAGGGUGAAGAAAAGAGCGGCUGGUGUAUCUGUUUACAGUGCAGCCAAACAAACUGAUUUGGUUUUACAUGAACAGAGUGAGGCUGUUAUCAUAAAAUUACAAACAGUAACCCUGGAUUACAUUUAAUGCACAAAGGUCAUUGUAAUCCUGUCCUGGCCACUAACAAUAAAUACUAAUUACAGACUGUAAAUACAUUAAAUUGCUAUUUGUGAUCACAUUUCAAAAACAAAAUAAAACUUGCCAACUUGGGGGAAUUCAAAUCAAGACAUAUCGCCACCUUUUAAAUUAAUAUAGCAAACUUGUUAGCAAACAGUUGUUUAUUUAUACAUCCAGCUGUCAUGUAGCAACAUUAUCGUCUUUUGUCUCAGAGUUGUGUUUUGGACACCUGAUGAAUGUUAGUCCAAUAUUAACUCUCUUUUAGCGCUAUUUUUGCUCUCUAUUAACCCCAGAGGGAAAUAUCUCUCUUUAGCUGCUAAACUCUCCACUGUGUUCAUGUUUUAAAUGUGUCUUCUGAAAACUACGCUUUGAGAGUUAAUAGGGUUUAAACUCACUAUAAAACUCUGUAAAGCCAAGGGCAGCUGCAGAUUUAGGUGGUAAUUCUCUGUAGAUGAAUCACUACAAGCAACCACUUUGACAUUAAUAUAAAAAUAUCAUUAUAGCCGCUUUAAUGUCUGUAACCUAAUGGAAUAACACUGGUACUACAUUAGGCUUGCAACCUUUGUCACAUGUUGUUCUCCUUCCUGCUUUCAUGUUUUUUUUCCUCUCCCCUCUGUUCUAUAUACUAGAGAAGAAGAAGAAAAAAUGGCAUAAAAUAUUGUGUUGCCCUGUCCACUUCUGUUUAAACCGAUGGAUGAAUGUUUAUAACUCGGGACAAAGUUUAUUAGAACAAAAACACACACUAAAUCUCUUCUCAUUCUUUUUCCACACUGCUCUGAUGGAUUGUGAUGUUAAUGUAAGCAGAAGAACGGAGGUAUUUAAAUAAAUGAGUGUUUAAGAGAUAGAUAAUCGGUCCUUGCUGUUUUCUGCUCCGUGACAAGUCACCAUACUUGUCAUGUCACUUCAGAAGGUCCUUGUUGGGGGAAAAAAAGUAAGUAAUGUUUAAACUCCUUUCAGUUAGCCUGAAACGAUGCAAAAAAUGGGUAGUUGAAAGGCCAAAGGAAAAAAAAAGGUUGAGAGAGAAAUUCCAAAAUGUCAUGGCUUUACUUGUUUGUGUUCUUACAUACACACAUAAAUGGUCAGUGUGACAUUUCCAGUCGGCCUGUAAAGUUGAGGUAAUACUCAGUAGACUGGUAGGUAUAGCUCCUGUCACGGCCUAUUGGUAUUUACGGUACAACACACUCACCCACAGCUUUACAUACAGUACGGAAACACAUCUACACAGGCAUAAAUAUAUGCAUACAGAAGCACACCGACUCAAACAGCUUGCACACGUGGACAGAUGAAGGUGGUUUGUUGAUCUGUGACCCUUUGGUAUUUCAUUGAGAUAAGGUCACUCACUUCUGUACACACUGUGCUGCUUUGCUUUUUCCUAUAAAACGAGUCUUUGGCAGCACUCAUUUUCCAGUCGCCAGCCGCGAGUGCCAGAUGACGCAAUUUGCUCAUUUCCAUGUAAGUGGACUAAUUUCUUCAUGGUGAAAUAUUGAAUCCGUUAACUGAUGCAUUAAGACUGAUAUUGAGGAAUAGUAUUUGGGGAUUAUUGGGGCCUUAAAUGUAAAAUGUAAUAUAAAAACUUAUAGACACUAUCAUGUCCAGUUGGAGAUGGUUGAAUUCAUUCAGAUAAAAUACACUAAACACAGUCAAUGGGCUAAAGAAAAUAACAGAAUUGAUGUCAAAAUGCAGUCAAUGAACUCGAUGGAUAGUUAUUUAUUUUUUGGUCACUCAACUAAUAUCUAAAAUCCUUAUGAUAAAAAUAAUAUUGAUACUGAAAAGACUUGAAUAUUAAAAGUAACAUGGCUGGGGAAAAUUGGAUAAAUAAACUAUUAUUUCUUGUGACUCAGCAGGUCAUUUGCAUUUUCUUCCCCUUUUUUCUCUUCACUUUGAAUUCCCAAUAGCGUUUCUUUAAGCUUGUUAUACGAGGGCCACCAAGUAUGUCUUUUGGGACCAUGGGGACAAAAAUGAAUACAAACCAAAAGUGGUCAGCCUGAAAUAUAAAUAUAUAUUCUUAUUUCUUUAAGGCGUUCCUCAUGGAAUGAUCAUCACUACUAGCUCUGUUUCUAAUAAUUAAUUGUACUGAAUAGACUCUCAAACUCCCUCAUCGCUCUUCCUUAUCCUCCCACUCACCCUCUUUCUCUUUUCUGUAAUUCAUUAGAGUGAGCAGGCAUCCACAUUCCUAAUUCAUUAGAGAGCAUCUGAAUAUGGCCUUUGUUGUAGUAUUGCAUAUAUCCAUCUCAUACCACAGCAGCAUUGCAUUUUCACAUGAUUGAACCUUUUAGAAAUUUCAUCACUUCAACAAUUUAACACAGCUGAGGGCAAGAAAUAUUAAUGGUAAUCCAACAGUCUAUCCUUAGAUGUAUGUUGUCCUGCUUAUGCCACAUUCAUGUCAUAUCGUUAAGACCGUAUUUACUUGUCAGACUACAAGAUAUCGACCAGAUAAUGGCCCGACAGGUUUGGCAGUUGUUUGGUUUAUCCUGUGUCGUGUCACGGUAAAAGACAACCACUACAGCAUCUGAAACUGCCUUCAUGACGUCCCAAAAUAAAGGCCAACAUGCCUUUGACAACUUCUAGAAGAUGUUGUUGUUGAAGUAAGAGAAAGGGAUGUUCUACCAGGCACAUGUAUCAGUACUGGCUGGGACUUUUGUGGUGCUACCAGGUGAACGGAGAAGUCGGUCCCUAGACUCUCCUUCCCAAUCUACUCUAUUUGGACCCUGAAAGAUGGCAAGUUAGGAUUGGUCUGGGUCAAACUUGUAGUCUUCUGUGUCUCUUUUCAAAUAUUGGUAAAGCAAGAAUAAUAAACCUUAUGCGUAGUAUGCCAGUAUGUUAUCGCAUGUUGGUGUCUGAAUCUUCACUAACAGCAAACAGUAAAUACCUUGCAUCUUAGUGCUUGCAGUAGUGAAUGUUAAGAGGAUAGGAGAAGGGCUGGAGUGAGAUUAAGCAGAUGAGAGAAGAAAGAAAGAGGCAGACAAGGGAAGAAGGAGAAACGAAAGCAGCAUUGACUGCGCAGCUAGGAGGAUGGAGGGACUUUGGAGAUUGAAGAGGAUAGAGCAAGGAAUAAGUGAGAUUAAACAACAAUGAUAAAUGAGUAUGGCAAGAGAAAGGAGAGACAGAGGAGAGGAGAAUGGGAUAGCAGAAGCAGUAGAAUUAAACAGAUAGCAAGGAUGAGAACAGCAGAUAGGAUGGCCAGACAGACGGCGAGAGAAAAAAUUGAGAGUCUGAGUGAAGGUGACAUUAGUUUGAUAUUAAAGGCAGGGGCAAGGAGGCCGACAUGGGUCAAGCAAAGACAGUGUCAGACGGUGUGAUGGAAAGAAAGGGAGAGGAAUAAUAGUAAAGUACAGCGACAGACGGAGAAAGAUUGGAUAAGGGUUUAGAAAGGGAGAAAUGUCCCUCAGGUUUUCUGUUUUUGGAAAAUGUUUAACUCCCUUUGUUUCUCUGCCUGACUGUCUCUAAACAUUUUAUUUUAGUGUUGAUAAUUUUGAAGAUUUACUUGGAUGAGAAGAACUUUUGUUUUGCUGCAGCAUGUGAAAACUGUAACUUUGGAAAUCAACCAGUUUUUUUAGGAAGCUUGAUCUAGAAAAAUGUCUUUUUCGGAUCUGUAAAUUUCCUGUUAAACUUAAUAACCCUUAAAUGACCAUAGUUUAGUCUUUUCUGAUUCAAAUCUGAUUGCCAUUAAAAACGUUUCAAUUAGGAAAUAAAAUUAAGAAGUCUAUGUCCAGAAUGCAAACAACCUCAAGCUGUUGCAGAAAUACAAACCCACAGCAGUGAACAUAACAGAAAACCCCCACAGCCGUGAACUGUAGGAUUGAUUCAGAGAAGCUUUAAUAACCUGAACAGUCUGGAUGAGCAAAUAAAAAUACCACAGAGCAGUUGCAUUCAACCCAACAAUUAACUGAAUGGUCAGCUUGUCCACUGGAGUGUGAGUAAAUGCUGACGGAGCACGAGGGAAAAAUGCAGCUUCACAUUAGAUUUACUAAAUCAGUUGAACGCAAUAAACCAGUGAACAGCAUGACAAGGCCUGUAGUUUUCAUUGUGUGUGAGAGAGACAGAGAGAGGCAAUUAGAGAAGCAAUCAGGCUUUAAAAUUAUAUUUUUUUCCACCCAAAGGUACAGCUAUAAUUAAAAUAUGAAUGGUGUUCUAGCUGGCCAGGUAAUUUAAUGGUAGGGCCAAUUCAUAAUUCAAUUGGGGAAAAAAAUCCCAUGUUCCUGAGCACCGCAAAAUACCAACAGUGGAACCAACGCAUUUUUAACUCCUGAGAGCUGAACGUUUGAACCGUACUGUCAAUGGUUUGAACCAAGAAAUAAAGAUACAGCAGGGGAGCAAUGAGCAAGAACAGUAAGAACACUGAGGGGUUUCCUAUAGCUUUACCACACAUGUAUAUUUGGAAUAGUAAAAUACUUUACCAGGUGUUUAUACCAGCACUAAAUACAUAUCAUAUGUAGCAAAACUGCUGGACACGUGGCACUGUGUGGCUGUGCCUGUUUAAUUGUUGUAGUAUAAAUGCUAAAAUGGUAGGCAUGUCACACACAGGCUUAACAUUAUUAUCAGGCACUUGUUUUUGUGCUUGUUCAUGGUGUGUGCAUUGGAUGUUUUUCUUUUGUGCAUUUGCGUUUGCCUGACUACAGUCAAUUAUUAGUAUUAUGAUAAACAGUAGGCCAUAUCACGCAGCAGACUGAAGUCCCUGUUAUCUGCAGCAUGCAGUUGUCUUAUUCUCUUUAUGUACAUAACCUGUCUUGUGACUGAGUACUGAGGCACGGAGUCGACCUUCAGCUAAACAAAGUCAACACUGUUGCAGUGUUUCUUUAGUCAUCUCUCUCUCUCUCUCUCUCUCUCUCUCUCUCUCUCUCUCUCUCUCUCUCUCUCUCUCUCUCUCUCUCUCUCUCUCUCUCUCUCUCUCUCUGCCUCUCUGCUUUGAAAAUGUGCUGAAUGUGGCUCUUACACAGGUACUCACAAACCUGCACGUUACUGCAUAUAACAUACAUUUCCAUUGUGUUGAUUUGCCCUCAAGCUGUCUUGUAGUUACAGGAAAGAAAUAUGUACAGAUAGAGAGAAUUAAUACAUCCAUAAAUGACAUGUUCUUUAUGUGCUUUAAUAAUCAACAUGUCAUUUCUACCUGGUUGUGAUUAAUGGUUUUAGAUACUAAUAAUAACCUGAUGGUACCAACCAUUAAAAAGCACAGAUCAAUUGGAUUAUGUCUGUGUGUAUGCGGGGUAUGAUGUGUUCAUGUACACAUAUGGGAACAGUACAGCUGACACUCAAUAGCAAUUUGGCCUUGUCAAUGACAACACUUAAGCCCUACAAAUAGCAGUCAUCACAGCUGUGUGUGUGUGUGUGUGUGUGUGUGUGUGUGUGUGUGUGUGUGUGUGUGUGUGUGUGUGUGUGUGUGUGUGUGUGUGCGUGUGCGUGUGUGUGUGUGUAAAGUGGCAGCUGUGAUUUGAAUGCUGCUGUUGGAGACAGGGCUCCACUGUGUACUCACACAGCUGAGGUCAGUGCAUAAUGCAAUACAAUGUAUGUGGUGUGCUUGUGUGUGUGUGUGUGUGUGUGUGUGUGUGUGUGUGUGUGUGUGUGUGUGUGUGUGUGUGUGUGUGUGUGUGUGUGUGUGUGUGUGUGUGUGUGUGUGUGUGUGUCAACAUCUUCCAUCUCUUCACACUCACAUCCCCUUACCCCUUGUUUGUAAUCCUCCAUUAACUCUGAGGAGUAGAGAUGUGUUUUUAACUAGGCCUCACCUUCAGGGUGGUGCACAUGCAGCAACAAAAAAAGCCUCCCUGGAAAUGGUGGAGAUUGAGUUUUGCACUCAAGGGCUCAUCAGCAGAGCUGCUGAAGGGUGCUGUCGAGAGGGCUUGAACCGUAUCCUUAUGGUUGAAAAGCAUUUUUUUCGAUCACUUUUCUACCUUCAGCCUCAUCAUUUUACGUCGAGUUACACAUUGCAACAGAACAAGCAUCUUAUGAAUAACUUUUCUUUACAUUUUAAAUUUUAGAAUAUCAGAUUUUGUUGCUGAUAGUUGCAGAGAGCAGGUUGGCAUGCAGAGCUGGAAAGUAGCCUUAGAGUAGUAGAGUUAUAUGGGUGCAUUUUCUUCAGCAGCCCACAGUUUUGAAUUAAGUGUGAAUUUCCACAGAGGAAGUGUCAUAGGGAUCAGGGAUUUCCUGAUUGUGUUUUCUGCACACCUAGCCUGCAGUAUCGCAACAUUUUAAUUAGCAAAGCAAAUGAAAUAGCUUUGCAUUGGCACUGGGUAGUAACACGUUUUUUGUCUUCAUUGUUACACGUGGUUGAUUUGAGUUUAUGAGUUGUAUCGUGGUCGAGGCAGACGGCCAUCCACCUAGAGCCGGGGUCUGCCCUAGGUUUCUGCCUCUUAAAAGGAAGUUUUUACCUUGCUACCGUCGCCAAGUGCUUGCUCAUGGUGGGAACUGUUGGGUCUCUGUAAAUUAUUUUAUAAGGAGUACAGUCUAGACCUGCUCUAUUUGAAAAGUGUCCUGAGAUAACUUUUGUUAUGAAUUGCUGCUUUACAAAAAAAUAAAAUUGAAUUGACACUGUGGAAGAACAAAUUUACUCCAUUUCACAUCAAACUAAACUCGUCUUGCUACAUUUGCUAAUCAGUGCAAACUCCAUUUCUUUCAUGCUCAGGAACUUCAAAGAGCCUGGUGGUAUGUUUGACUCUUAGCCCUUUUUUUUUUUUGCUUUGCUCUGUCAGAAUAGAGCUUUCAAUCAGUGCUAACAACUCACACUGCCAGACUACACCGAGCUCCGACUGUGAGCGCUCGUUUCAGGCCACUACAUCAAAGUGCAGUGCAGACACUGAGACUCACUAUGCAAAUAUCCAGCGAUGCUGCCAACGUCAUGCAGUGGGAUUAAGCAUUGAUUGAGGCUUUGACAGCAAGCUAAGAAGAUGAAAGGUUUUGGAGGAGUAACACUAAAAAGAAACCAAAGCUCAUUCGAGGCAGGUGGAAUUAAAGAAAUAACAGCGUGACAGCCUGACACCAUCGGGUCGAGCUCAGCUAGGUUCAGGAGGUGAAUAACACAUUGUGUUAUCUAUUAUUCAUUACAUUUGCAGCAUUUUAUGAAUGACUGCAGAAUACAAGAUGAUAUGAAAUCACCUGAAUAUAAAUGUGAAACUGCUCACAAUCUACGCGUCUCCAUAUUCCCUCGACCCUCACCUAGGGAUACCCAUCUUUACUUUGUGCUACAAAAAAGUAGUUUAAACUGGUUAUGAAACAGUCUCAGUUUUAUACUGCUGCCUCUAUAUGACCUACAUAAACAAACAAGUCCAUUAGUGAGAAGACUGUUUCUGUGUAGUUGUUGUUAAUGCCAGUCACCGGGUCAGAUUCCCCUCAAAAUCACAGUGGAUAUUACUUUAGUACAAAUGGCUUAUAAUGUAACAUAAUGUAUCUGAGCUAAAACCUGCUGUUGGCUUAUUAUUAUGAAGACAUAAUAUUAAUGUUGAUAACUUUCUCAACUAUUAAUUUUACACAUUUUACAAGUUACCUCAUUGGUUUGCAUCUUGCAAACAAUAAUAGAAAAAUCAAGACAAAAUAAAGUUCCAUGUAGUUGCUUUAACCUCGAAAUUGAUUUAUUUUAAAAAAAAUUAAUUUUGAUAGAUUUUUAUUAUUAUUACUCCUUUUAGAAUACUUGGCUGACACAAAAUACCAUUACAGUUCUCAUAAAUAAAACAGAUACAUGCAGUAGCAGGCAGCAGCUGUGCCAGCUAUUCAACAACCAUUAUUCAAGCUUUGGUGACGAGGGGAGGUGGAGUCUGGAGCCCCCCUCCCCCUCCACACCACACACACACACACACACACACACACACACACACACACACACACACACACAGAGAGAGGGUAGUGUCUGCUGUCUCCUCAUAUAUACUGCUCCCUUUUCCUCUUCCACACACUUGCCACACUCGUAAGCAUGCUCACUCUUUCUCUUUCUUGAAUAUACACUUAAGCUUGCUCACACAACACACCCCUCCUCCUCUGUCCCCUUUCAGCCACACAUACGCAGACAUUAACACACACACACACACACACACACACACACACACACACACACACACACACACACACACACACACACACCUUCUAUCUUUUACAUAUCCCUCCUCCACUUUCCCCUCCGCACACACCUAAAAAAAUUACUCUUUUUGUCUCAUACACACACACUCCAGCUCUCCCAUUCUCUUCUUUCUUUCACCCUCCGUCUCUCUCUCUCUCUCUCUCUCUCUCUCUCGCUCGCUCGCUCUCUCUCUCUCUCUCUCUCUCUCUCUCUCUCUCUCUCUCUCUCUCUCUCUCUCUCUCUCUCUCUCUCUCUCUCUGACACACA